CCCUUAGAUGUCCUGGGCCGCACGCGUGCUACACUGACGCCUACAGCGAGUACUUCCCAGCCCCGAGAGGCGGCUGGUAAUCAGCAAUAGGCGUCGUGAUGGGGAUAGAUCUUUGGAAUUAUGGAUCUUGAACGAGGAAUGCCUAGUAAGCGCAGGUCAUUAGCCUGCGCUGAUUACGUCCCUGCCCUUUGUACACACCGCCCGUCGCACCUACCGAUUGAAUGGUCCGGUGAAGCCUCCGGAUUGGCGUGCACCCUCGGGUGCUGCCGAGAAGUUGGCUAAACCUUACCAUUUAGAGGAAGGUGAAGUCGUANCA
RNAcentral lists this ribosomal RNA (316 nucleotides) under uncultured eukaryote. RNAcentral describes it as "partial 18S ribosomal RNA". It matches the Rfam family "Eukaryotic small subunit ribosomal RNA", at positions 1470 to 1796 of the family's 1831-position model. The record is from RNAcentral.